RNAcentral lists this transfer RNA (103 nucleotides) under Puccinia graminis f. sp. tritici. Its description in RNAcentral is "tRNA-Ser". It matches the Rfam family "tRNA". From Rfam's summary of the family: Transfer RNA (tRNA) molecules are approximately 80 nucleotides in length. Their secondary structure includes four short double-helical elements and three loops (D, anti-codon, and T loops). Further hydrogen bonds mediate the characteristic L-shaped molecular structure. tRNAs have two regions of fundamental functional importance: the anti-codon, which is responsible for specific mRNA codon recognition, and the 3' end, to which the tRNAs corresponding amino acid is attached (by aminoacyl-tRNA synthetases). tRNAs cope with the degeneracy of the genetic code in two manners: having more than one tRNA (with a specific anti-codon) for a particular amino acid; and 'wobble' base-pairing, i.e. permitting non-standard base-pairing at the 3rd anti-codon position. Lineage: Eukaryota; Fungi; Basidiomycota; Pucciniomycetes; Pucciniales; Pucciniaceae. The record is from RNAcentral.
GACAGGAUGGCCGAGGGGUUAAGGCGGCAGUUUUGAAUCCGCCCGAUGGCGGCUCUCCAGCUGCUUCACUUUGUGAGCGUGAGUUCGAACCUCACUCCUGUCG